UUAUUUGUGUAAGAACUCGUGGUAGGAAUCUACAUUACCUACUACGUGUUCCCUACAAUUGUACAUAUUGUUCUUUCAAUUAACAAUAUUUCAAUAUUACGACAAUUAAUGUGAAAACAUACAACAAAUAUUAUUCAUUUAAUUUUUAUUUAUAAUGACAUGUUUCUCCAAGCUUUUCUGAUGAUCUUUCAAAUUGAAAUUCUGAUAUAUUUGCCGCCUGAUGUGUGUUUCCUUCUCUAUUUUCUUCUUUUUCAAUGUCGCCGCUGCUACAAUUGAACACUACGCUAAUCGUGCAUAAUUAAUUAAUUUUAAUAAAACAUUGAUUUAAAUAAAUAAAUAAAGCAUUACGUUUUGCAGAGACAAAUGUUUCAGAGCAAAAAUUUCAAUUUAAUUCGACAGUUCAGACUGUUUCAGAUUGUAAUUUGAUUAAAUUCGACUUUACAACUUGAUCGAGGACAGCUUCACUUCUUCUCUGUGUUUACACACUUCGCCUGUGCUCAUUUGCAAUUUCGGAGUAAAAUGUGAUUAUGAUUGAAAACGUGGCAAGAUGUAUAGAUACAAAGUAAACAUCGAGCCUCAGUUCUUUCGUUCCGCCUGCAGUUGACAGUUAGUAAACAGUUAGUUGGUACGACGAUUCCGAAAAGUUAAGACAAUUUUGUGGCAAUGCAACGGGAAUUACUUCGAAAUAAGUUAUUGAACUAGUAAAAUCUAACGAAGAUUUAAAAUUAACAUAUAACAUACGCUUGUUCGACUUAAAAUUCAAUGUUCAAAAUGUUAAAUCGGAUAUUAGAUCAAUUGCUUUAUUUAAUAGAGAAAAAUCAGGAAAGAAAGUUGUUUAGUUUUUGUUCCACAUUAAAUAACCUAUACUCGUCCAAAAGCGUAGAAACAAUGGACAAGAAUCACCGCGAUGUUCGAUAUAAAUUCUCGUGAUCGAUCUUAUUGGAAUUGAUAACAUUGGAAUGUAACGUACAUAUUUGCGUCAGUUUUACGCGGGACGCGCAACAAGAUGGCGGAUCUAAAACAAAAUCCGAAACAAAGAUUUAAAAUUAAAAUACUCUUGUUCGACAUAGUGUUCAAUAUAUGAAACCACAGACAUUUUGUUUGAUUAAUUACUUUAUUUAAUAAGCGAGAAGAAUCAAGGGAGGAAGCUGUUUGUUUUUUCGUUCCAAAUUAGAUAACCUUUAUUUGUCCAAAAGCGCGAGCAGUAAUUUUAACAAAAGUCGCCAUGAUAUUCGAUAUAAUUUCUCGUGAUCGAUCUUACUGGAAUCGACAAUAUUGGAGUAUAAAAUACAUAUUCGCGCGGGAAGCGCAUCAAAAUGGCGGAUUUGGAGUGGUCACCAGGAGAAAGACUUCGCUUUUCCAAAUAAUUAGUUGAAUAAUUCAAUUUGAAUUUGUUCUGUGCAUAGUCCAUACCACCAACAUGAAACUGUUAUUAUUGCAUUGUCAAAACUUGCGGGAUUGAACCACUUGGCCACGUAAUGUUUACUGAUUAAUUGUUUAACGAUACUUUAUUAAUCGUUAUUUCAUCAUUUUAUCCGUACUAUUAUUAUCUCUUUGAUCUCUGAAGUCGGAAAGAAAAUAGAUCCUUUGCAAGAGAGAAACG
Molecule: long non-coding RNA, 1603 nt
Organism: Frieseomelitta varia
Lineage: Eukaryota; Metazoa; Arthropoda; Insecta; Hymenoptera; Apidae
Exons: 2
Source: RefSeq, a predicted model, not a curated record